Molecule: long non-coding RNA, 2149 nt
Filed under: Nicotiana tabacum (common tobacco)
Lineage: Eukaryota; Viridiplantae; Streptophyta; Magnoliopsida; Solanales; Solanaceae
Description: long non-coding RNA (NTAB_LNC014816)
Source: RNAcentral
AUGGAAAUACAAGAUUAUAUAUCCAACUACCAUGCCAAAGAGUGAUUAAAUCAAAUCACAGAUUAUACAAAAUCCAACAUCUGCUUAUCUUCAUUGAGUCAAUCAAAAUUAUUACAGUAAUAGCCCUAGAUGAAUAUUACAAUAAGAGUUAACUAUACAACACUAAAACCUCAUAAAUCAGUAUUCUCCUUCUGCCUCACAUUUGCUUAACCUUCUGCCUCAUAACUGAGAUUAAAUCACGAGAUUAACCUGCUUAAACACGUGAGUAUUACACUAAUUAACAACUAUGAAAUCCACGACUUCCAAACUUAGCUGACUAUACAGAUUUCAUUUCAACAUGUGACAUUACUCAAAAAUAGGAAUCAAGCCAAUACACACGAAGUGGUUGCGUUCGGGAAAAUCAAAAAUCAAGCAUCUCAUUCUAGUUAAAUUGAACAGGUAUUUUGUUCAGUAUUUAAGCUAAAUCAAAGCAUAUACAUUCAAGUAUCAAUAAAUGGACUUAGCCAAAACAAGUCAUGGAUUCAAGUAAUGACUACAAAUGAGUCAAAGAACAAUCAUAAUACUCAUAUCCAAGCAAAUCCGACAAUAGCUUCAAAGAAACAUACCUAAUAACUUGAGGAUUAGGCUUAAAGGAAAAGAAAACCCAGUAGAGGUCGGAAAAAACAGAUUGGAGUCCAACUAUGCAGAGAACAAUAGUAGUUUCGAUUCAGAAUAUUUAGAAACCCAGCAAUAUGAAAAGGAAUGAACACUGCCUCAAACAAUUCAGAAAUAGCCUCUCUAUCCUACUUUUUUUUUUCUUUUAUGGAAUAUUUAGUGUUCUAUAUCAGAGAAGAUGCCUUUCUUUUGCUCUUGAGUGUGUGAGAGAGUGAGAGUGUAAUGUGUAGAUAAAUUUUUCUCCCCUAAAUGAAAAGUGUGUUCCCUUUUAUAGAAAUCAGUCGUGCCCUGUAUGAAGAGAAUAAGGGAAUAUAAAGAGGAAUCUGUCAGCUGAAAAAAUGGAACAAAAAGCAUCUUUUUAACCAAUUUUGUACAGCUGUCCCUCUUAUAUGAGAUAUUUUCCUUUUUUUCAGCACCUUAUCUUAACAAGAUCGGGACAACUGUCCUUUUCUAGAAGUUUCUUCUCAUUUUCACUCUUUUCAACUUCUGAAAAUUGACCUUUUUUACCCAAACUCUGACCUAAUUCAAUUAUGUUAUUGCACUUAAGUCUUUUUUCUAGAAGCUUCCUGAGCAGCUAGUUAGAUUCCUUAAAUUUGAUUUCCAAUUACUCCCUUAAAGUUUCUGUUAUUACCCUUUCACCCCUUAAUUCCAAUUGACACUCAAACAUCACAAGUCAAACAAUUAAGACCAAAUCAAGGAUUAAACAAAACAGAAACAACUUACCAAUUACAAGUGGGGUCUGAAGUACGCAGCCUUACCCCUAUCCUGGAAGGGCAGAGAGCUUACCAAUUAAACUUAGCUAAAUUAUUAAAUUAAUUAAAACUGAUUCACUUAACCUAAAACCAUACAAUUAACUAAUUAAUCUUACUUUCACUGAACUUAAUCAAAUUAAUAAACUAAUCUAAUCAAAAGAAAUUAACAUCUAAGUGAUAAUCUGAAAAGAAACAAAAAAAGGAAAAGAGAAGAUACACUGAUUUGGCUUCUAAAAGAGACGCUGAUUGAGGCGAAUCGACGAACACUGACGACGACGACAAGGCUUUGGCUGGCCAGUGGCGAGUUGGCCGAAAUCCAGUAGGUCGGUCAAAUUCUGAUGACCUCGAAAUGAACUAAAACGAAUGUCAAUCGAUUGCUCUCGUUAAGAGCAAUCGAUUAACGUAAGUUUUAGACCAAAACGAGUUGGCAUCUGCCAAGAAAUCAGAAAAGGGAAAGAUUAGGGUUUUUUGUUUUUUGGAUUUUUAGAUCCGAAAAUCAACGGAUUUGGUGGGGAUUUUGGGAAAACUAGUGAUGGAUUUGGAAAGAGGGAGGGACGAGCACUGUAUGGUGAGAAUCUGGGAUUGUUUGGUGGUGUUAAAGGUGGCGGCCGCCGGUGGGGGUUUGGGGGUGUGAUGGCGGCUAUGGUUUAGAAAGUUGAGGGAGAUGAAAAAGAAAUGAAAAAAUGGUUUUAGGGUUUGGGGAGGGGUCUGUUUGGACAGUUAUAAGGGGAGGAAGUGGGGAG